AAGUCGUAACAAGGUUUCCGUAGGUGAACCUGCGGAAGGAUCAUUAACAAAUUCCAAUUAAAAUUAACCCUGUGUGAACCGAUUGCCAUUUGAUUUGUCACUUUACUGUACAUUUCGAGUGGUAAUGAGUAGGCAAUCAGGCUUAAUUGUCUGAAUGUCUGCUCGCCAUAAACGCUUCAUUGUUGGCUGUUAAAUGUAACGUAUGUGUUCUCUUGUAUAUACACAGUUGAUAUUGCUAUCACUUUAUUGUGUUGCAAUUCGAUUUUAUACAAUGUUUAACCAUGCAAAACUUAAAUUUAGACAACUUUUAACAAUGGAUCUCUUGGCUCUU
RNAcentral lists this unclassified non-coding RNA (331 nucleotides) under fungal sp. RNAcentral describes it as "partial internal transcribed spacer region". The stretch from base 1 to 46 matches the Rfam family "Eukaryotic small subunit ribosomal RNA", at positions 1786 to 1831 of the family's 1831-position model. The record is from RNAcentral. Lineage: Eukaryota; Fungi.